CUAUUAGCCACACGGUAUCGCUGUUGCUGCAUUAUUGGACAGUCGAGUGAAGGCUUCUUCAUGCUUGGGGAAAGAAGUGUGUCAGUAAGGCAGGAGGCGGGGCAGCAUUCUAAAAGCUGAUUGGUCGCGCCUCCCAGAACUACAGUUAGUCUUGUAAUGUGAUUGGCCAUUGUUUAAACGCAGGAGUGCGCCACUGCAUAUUUUCACAGUUUGACAGUGGUCUGAGCAAUAAUUACACACAUCCGGACUCAGUCUUUUUGGGAACAUUAGCAUUAAUGGAAAGCACACGAUUUAUUCCCCGCCUGAGGCCUCACUGAGCCAUUGGAUUUGAUCAAAAAUAUCUUAAUUUGUGUUCUGAAGAUGAAUGAAGGUCUUACGGGUGUGGAACAACAUGAGGCAUUACGGCGUGAGGUGUGUGGGAAAUGUAGGAGUUAUGAUAGGAGCGGGAGGCAUGCUUGUGAUACAAGUGAACCAGACUGAGAGAGAGAAAGUAAAGAAACUAGAGGAAAGGUUAUGCUAUUCACGUCAACCCAUUCCCACCCGUCCCAGUCCUCCCACCACCCGACACCAGUUCUCACGUAACAGCUUCAGUCCAGAGAAGAGCGUGGAUCUGAAGACUUAAGCUGAGGUUCUUCAUCACCAGCGGUCAUUAAAAGGUCAUCUGGUCAUUGAAGAGUGAAUAUUUUCUCAAAGAAGGAACUUAAAGGAGGUAAACUGAGGUUGAGGGGGUAUUUGAGGCCACUUCUGAUUCAAGACACUCUCUAUUUAGCCGGCCUCUUCCUGUCCACCAGACAGAUGGGAUAUUGGAUCACAGCCUGUUUCCAUGACAACUACUUUGGAUACAGCUAGCUGAAAACCACAGGACACACAGACAGCCAAAUAAAAUACACAGUCCAAAGUGGCUUUUAUUGGAGCUUAAGAUGGGCAUUUGAUACAAAAGGAAACAUGCCUGACUAACAAUUAAGAAGUAAAGGAAAAUAAUAUUUUUGCAUAUAAGAACACUUAAAUAUGCACGUUCAGACAUCAGAUUUUAAUCAAAUCAGACAUUAAUAACAAACUAAAAAUACUCCCAUUUGCAUAAAUAGAUCAUUUAGAAUGAUUUCAUUUAAAAAUUAAAAAAAGAUACUUUAGAAAAACUAGCUUUUUGCUAUAGUUAUAAAAAAAAGUCCCAUCCCAGUAAUAAAUAUAUACACAAUAAAUGAUGCAAAAGAGAUUUUUUGAAAACAUUUAGAAGCAUUUUUAAAAUCAUUUAAAACCUGUACAUUUCAUCAGCGACAACAGAAAGGAUGAAUAUGUGCUCCUCUCAAACAACUAAAGUAACAGCAGUUUAUGGGGCAUCAUAUUAUGGUUACUGGGUUACCAAAUAAGCAAAACGUAACACUACUUAUUUGAUGGUUUUCAAAGAUAUGUGCAUCUAUGUUUUUGGGGGGCAAAACUGAUAUGGUGGGAGCUACAGGAAUUUGGUAAUCAUAAAUUACAUUAGCAUUGAUCGCAAAUUUCUGUUAUAAAUUUGUAGGGUUUCUUGUAGAUCAUUACAAUUCAUUCACCAACAAUACAGAAUAAUGUUUAUAAGUUUGUAUUGUGGUUUUGUUAAAAAAAAAAAAAGUUUAUACUGAUACUCUGUGGAUCACAUUUUGAAAAUACCUCUUGAAGGAUUGAUCAGAGAGCCUGAUGUAUGGACCUUAUUUGUUCUUAUCAGGAAUGCCAGACUUUGGGGAGAGUCUGAGACUGAAAAUGGGUGAAAUGACUAAAAAUAAAGUUGUUGUUCCACUACA
Molecule: long non-coding RNA, 1775 nt
Organism: Ctenopharyngodon idella (grass carp)
Lineage: Eukaryota; Metazoa; Chordata; Actinopteri; Cypriniformes; Xenocyprididae
Exons: 5
Source: RefSeq, a predicted model, not a curated record